GUUAAUAAACCUGACUGUUAAACGUGCCCAAUCUCAGUUGAUCUUGGAAGCUAAGCUGGGUUGGGCCUGGCUAGUACUUGGAUGGAUAUUCCACCUAGGAAUACCAGGUGCUGUAAGCA
This 119-nucleotide ribosomal RNA is filed under the name Pteropus alecto (black flying fox). The record is from RNAcentral. Lineage: Eukaryota; Metazoa; Chordata; Mammalia; Chiroptera; Pteropodidae.